Lepisosteus oculatus (spotted gar) is the source of this 121-nucleotide ribosomal RNA. Lineage: Eukaryota; Metazoa; Chordata; Actinopteri; Semionotiformes; Lepisosteidae. The record is from Ensembl.
CCCUGCUCAGCCAUAUCACCCUGCAACUCACAACUGGCAACCCACUGAAGCUAAGCAGGUGUGAGCCUUGUCAGUACCUGGAUGGGAGACCUCCUGGGAAAAACUAAGGUUGCUGCUGGAA